Falco peregrinus (peregrine falcon) is the source of this 2338-nucleotide long non-coding RNA. RefSeq lists it as uncharacterized. The transcript is spliced from 2 exons. The record is from RefSeq and is a predicted model, not a curated record. NCBI's taxonomy places the organism in Eukaryota, Metazoa, Chordata, Aves, Falconiformes, Falconidae.
AGCUGACAGCUCAGUGUUUCUCUCUGGUUUCAGAGUAGCAGAUCAACAUCCAUAGGUAAGCAAGGGCAGUAGUGCAGGAAGCCUCGCAUUUUCCUUUUCCCUGACGACUCCGGGCUCCCCUGGCCGGGGUGGAAACCAGUACGCGCCAACUCCUGAGCCUGCAGCCUGGGGAGCGCAGACUUACCCGUCAAUGUGGGGGGUAAGUUCAAUGAAAUCAAUGAAAGCCACCAUCUCCCUGGACACUGGACCACUGCAGCAGGGUCCUGUCCUGCUCCCAAUGCGUCCAUAAAGAGGCAGAAGACAAGGCGGUAUUUCCCAGUCACACGCCUGCCCUACGCUGCCAGCGGUGCGGGGGCACAGCGAGACAAGCCCUUGGAACAUGUCCCUGGUCCUUCCAGUCCCAGAUGAGGCUGUCUGGGUUUAUGUGGCUACACACUCUUCCCAAGAGCAUUUCUGAAAGCUUCCAAGGGAUUAAAGAAACAACUGUUCCUCUUUUAAUGCCAGAAUCAUAGGAAGUUUAAAUGAAAACCUAGGAAAUUAUUUUUUUUUUCAAAAUAUUUCUUUUUAGUAGCUCUGCUUCCAAUGCUCCAGAGCCAUAGGCACAUGCCACACUGGAGCCACAGAAAUCAAAAUUUUUAGAAAGAUAAUGAAGCUGUCAUAAUACUUGUCAAAUAUUUUUCCAAAUGUAAUAGGAAUUGAGUGUACAGCAAUGCAGAGAACAUUCAGGCACCUCUUGCUGCAAGCAUCUGCCUGGAUCUAAUUUGUACAAACUUGAAAACAGGGAUUUCUAGUGAAAGCACUGACAAAGUCUCAGCUGUAAGACUAAAGAUAGACGAAAACUCAGCGCCGCAGACUGCAUUUUCACUCAAGAAGCACCAUGUGCAGCCCUACUUUAAAAAAGGGUGAGUGAAAAGGAACAGAAAAGCGAGGCACCGAAUGCGCACACCCCAAACCACAAGCAUCAGUCCCUAGAGACAACAUGAAACGGCCUCUCAAGGUGCAGCUUCUACAGCCACAUGCACUGUUAACCCGACAUCUGUUUUGCUCUCUUGCUGUUCCCCAGAAAGAUGCACUGGGACAGAGAAAGACAGGGAAAGGUGUCCUCAAGACAGAGGGGAGAGGUGCAAGGAGCAAACACCACUCCCUCAGCUUUAGAGAAGGAAAAAAAAAAAAAAAAAAAAAAAGAGAAUAAACACCUCCUGAGUGCUGGCUUGCUUAUCCUCCGCACCUCCCUUUUUCUAGCAGUUUGAUGUUCACAUGCGGAAAUCAAAAUAUUUCCAUGGGGAAAUGUGCUGUCAGCAUUUUACAGAUUUGGGAGAGAAAGGCACAGAUGUCUGUGUGAACUCCAGCACCCCCGCAGCCAUCGCCUUCCCGUUUUCCCCAGAAAGGAGUAGAUUCUUGGGACGUUACAGCCACAUGUCUUGGUUAUUUUUACCCUGGCAGCUAAAUACUGGAUCAUGGCUACUAUAAACAAACCUGUUUAAUUUUGAACUUGUAAGUGUUGUUCGUGCCAGUUUUUUAAGUUACUAUAAACCAGGCCAUGAAAAGGGAUGGAUUUUUUUUUUAAAAAAGCAUCUACUAAACAUUGCUUAAUAUCCUACCAAAAUCCUUUCAUUGCUCAUAGCCAUGUUUGCAAAACAAACUCAAAUCCAGCACUUUCGCAAAGGAAAGAUUUACGAUGAUCAAAAUCACACUAAAACUGGCAGAUCCCUUCCACAAUAAAAAACCCAAACAAAUACAAAGAAUGAUACAGCAAUGAAGUCUGGAAACACGGGACCUGGGGCUGUACCCUUGGCUUCACCGAGGACCUGCACUCGUCAGACCACAGGCUGCAAAGCGCCAGCAGCACCGCACCAGUCCGACUGCCCAGCUCCAGCAGUGCCGAACCACAGCUCCACUCACCAUCUGCUCCCUAAUAUGUUAUACACCAUGUUCUUAGAUAUUAAAUUACUCAAUGAAGUCAAAAGCAUGUUAAAUACUUCCCUAACAUUAAUCAAAGCUGCCAACAAUUAUGCAAUUGUUACAUGUGAGCUAAGGAAAUGUGCCGGGAAGAGAGAUGGUGGAUCACACAUGAAAGGGUGUUUGUCUGCAAAUCACACAAUUAAUUAACAAAUACCUUCCCUAAAAAGUAACGAGACAAACACCCCCAUAGAGUUAUCCUGUUAGUUAGCACAGAAUUUACUUAAAUAAUAAAAAUCACUGCCAUGGACGCACUCGCCACGUCCCUUCCCCAAGGCAGUCAAUCUCCCCAUCACCUUUAGGGUACACAGAAAGCCUGCUCCACCUUUCCCGAGGCCAUCAACACCAGAAGAAUGAGAGGGACAACGUGCCCCCCGCC